GUAUAACUUACGUAUAAAUGCGUGAGCGUCUUCUUCUACGCCGGAAAUAGUGUUCUGAAUGAGAGACCGGUAAACGGUGGGGGCUUGCAGAGAUAACUAAUCAGGUGUUGUGAGAGUUCAUUUUAAGGUGUAUCCUAGCUGCCCAGCGCAAGCAGUCAACACAGCAUUUUAUUGAACAUUCCCUGAAAUAAAAGAAUGACUGGUUGACAGCUUCAAGAGAUACCUGUCUGACCUGGUGACCAUCUGGAUCUCAGGUAUGAAGCCCAAACUCUUUUCAUGGAAAGACAAGAAUUUGAGUUGACUCAGUCCCACAACUGGAGAUAAAGAGAACCCUGUUCAUGCUUUGUGGCACUGGGAAGAAACAGCUCCUAGAACCUUUCUACAGACAGACAGUGGCAGAGCCAGACAAUUUUCAUCAGGGUGACCAG
Long non-coding RNA from Lates calcarifer (barramundi perch), 428 nucleotides. RefSeq lists it as uncharacterized. NCBI's taxonomy places the organism in Eukaryota, Metazoa, Chordata, Actinopteri, Centropomidae. The record is from RefSeq and is a predicted model, not a curated record. The transcript has 4 exons.